Molecule: transfer RNA, 86 nt
Organism: Purpureocillium lilacinum
Lineage: Eukaryota; Fungi; Ascomycota; Sordariomycetes; Hypocreales; Ophiocordycipitaceae
Rfam family: tRNA
About the family: Transfer RNA (tRNA) molecules are approximately 80 nucleotides in length.
Source: Rfam
GCCCGGUUAGCUCAAUCGGUAGAGCGUGAGACUCUUACGAGUACACGGUAAUCUCAAGGUUGCGGGUUCGACCCCCGCAUCGGGCU